Long non-coding RNA from Asparagus officinalis (garden asparagus), 1754 nucleotides. RefSeq lists it as uncharacterized. NCBI's taxonomy places the organism in Eukaryota, Viridiplantae, Streptophyta, Magnoliopsida, Asparagales, Asparagaceae. The transcript is spliced from 4 exons. The record is from RefSeq and is a predicted model, not a curated record.
CACUGAGGAUAAUGGAAACUCGCCUAUGUUACAUUAUAGCUUUCUACAUACAUGUUUAUUGUUUCAACUACUGGCUAUGAUGCUGCAUUUUCUUGUAUUAUACUACGUUUUAAUUUCUUUCAGCACCCCUCCUCUUGCUAAAAGAAGAGGUGGUCUAAAUAAAAUCUGUGGUCUUUCUCCUCAACUCUAGGCUAUUGUCGCAAGCCAGACAUGCCAAAAAAUCAGCAACUAUGGGCCUACAUCAGUAAGAACUAUCUCCAAGAUCCAAAUUACAAGAGCAAGAUCGAUGAAUUAUGACUGGUCUGCGAGACACUGUACUGACAUGUUAAAGAUGAACAAGCUAUUGGCUGAGCAUAUCCUUCCACUGGAUGAGAAAAGUAUGUUUUUGCUUCAUCAUAAAGUGUUUUUUUGUAAGGCUGUGAAAACUUGGAUUAGAUAUUUCACUUGGAUUAGAUAAUAUAUAUCUUAGUUGAUGUUUCAGAGGACAUGGGUCCAGAUGCGCAAAGGUUGAAGUCUAGAGAUGUUGGCUCUGCAACUCAACCUGAUUUUUCAGAGUACAUGGGUUCAUUAGAUUUUCUGUGAAAUUUGUAUUUGUACUUUAGCAUCUGGGUAAAAUAGAUAUAUAUGCAUCACAUGUUAGGACAUGAUACAAAUUUAACCCAAAAAAAAAAUCUAAUGGAAUCUGGAAUUGGGGCGUCAUAGUGAAUUGGGAAUGAAACGUUAGGUAAUCAAAAUGCAAAAGAGAUAUUUUGGGGUAUCAAACCAAUGUUUGGAGUAUCAAUGCGUUAAAAUGAUACAUUUUGUAGGGGUGCAAACUGUUUGGAUACGUCUAGGAGAUGUACUUAUUAUAUCCGUAUUCGCUUACCACUUACAUAUACGAAUUUGCAGGAAAGCUCAUCCAUAUCUGCUAAAAUCUGAUACAGAUACAGAUAUAUUUGCAGGAAAACAUGAUCCGGUACACAUUCAGUAUUUAGCUCCUAUAAAGUUCGAGAUACCGCUUGCUGUGAAGGAGAAAAUUAUUUUAUUAGUAAACGUCAGACUUGAUUGCAUCAAAAGGUUACCGCUAGUGGGCCAGAAGUAAAAUAGUAUACCGUUUGCUGUUACCAUCUGUUUUGAUUUUAGCGGUUACUAGCGCGAACUUUAUUUUCCCUCUAUUUAUAGUCUUAUAUCAACUUCAUGUUUUCAUAGAGCAUGGGGAGGCGCUCCAGAUUCUAUACUAAGAAGUUGGGCAAAAGUAUGAACCUCAUUGUGAUUAUUUCCUUGACGAGUUCAACACUAAAAAUGGAGGUCGGCGAACUGCUACUGUUCUCAUGUGCCUGUGGAUGCCCAGUGAUUAGAGGGAGUAAGUGAUCAUCUAUGAAAUGGAUGCAGGUCAAUGAAUAUUAAGUUUGAAGUAUCAACUCGAAGAUUUUUGCUGGAUGGAGUGGCUGCAGCCCAGGAGAUUAUUUCUGUUUGUUUUCAGAAUAAAAAAGGAGGAAUUUUAUUAAAACUAGAUUUCAUGAAAGCUUAUGAUAUGUUGGAUUGGGAUUUUAUUAUAGAGGUGUUGAAGGCAAAAAAGUUUGGUGUUAAAUGGAUAAAAUGGAUCAAUUUGUGUUUAAAUGGAGGUAUGUCUGCCAUUAAUGUUAAUGGUAAGCUUGGGAGGUGGAUUAUGUCCAAAAGAGGUGUUCGUCAACGAGAUCCUCUGUCACCCCUUCUUUUUGUCCUAGCAGCUGAUUCUUUCAUCAGAAUGUUGAAUCUUGCAGUUGAUUCUUAAC